AACGAACGCUGGCGGCAUGCCUAACACAUGCAAGUCGAACGAGACCUUCGGGUCUAGUGGCGCACGGGUGCGUAACGCGUGGGAACCUGCCCUUAGGUUCGGAAUAACUCCCCGAAAGGGGUGCUAAUACCGGAUAAUGUCUUCGGACCAAAGAUUUAUCGCCUUUGGAUGGGCCCGCGUUGGAUUAGCUAGUUGGUAGGGUAAAAGCCUACCAAGGCGACGAUCCAUAGCUGGUCUGAGAGGAUGAUCAGCCACGCUGGGACUGAGACACGGCCCAGACUCCUACGGGAGGCAGCAGUGGGGAAUAUUGGACAAUGGGCGAAAGCCUGAUCCAGCAAUGCCGCGUGAGUGAUGAAGGCCCUAGGGUUGUAAAGCUCUUUUACCCGGGAUGAUAAUGACAGUACCGGGAGAAUAAGCUCCGGCUAACUCCGUG
Molecule: ribosomal RNA, 433 nt
Filed under: uncultured bacterium
Lineage: Bacteria
Description: partial 16S ribosomal RNA
Rfam family: Bacterial small subunit ribosomal RNA
Source: RNAcentral